AUCUAAUCUACUACAUUUUAUAGUAAAAUUAACAUAGUUCUAAUUACACACCAUAAGUUCUGUCUAUCCUUCUCAACAAAAUCUUUUUUUUUUUUUUGAAACAGGGUCUUACUUCGUUACCCAGGCUAGAGUGCAGUGGUACAAUAAUAGCUCACUGCAGCCUUGAACUCCUGGGCACAAGUAAUCCUCCUGCCUCAGCCAUGCAAGUAAGUACCUAGAACUACAGAUGUGCACUGCCGUGUCUGGCUAAUUUUUAAUUUUUUUUUUUCUAGAGACAGGGUCUUGCUAUGUUGCCCAGGCUGAUCUAAAACUCCUGGCCUCAAGCUGUCCUCCCUUCUCAGUCUCCCAAAGUGUUAGAAACACAGGCAUGAGCCGUUGUGUCUAGCUAACAACUUUUUUUGUUGACCCUAAUUAAACAUAUUAAAUGUUUUAUGCCAAGAGGAAAUAGAUGUAUUAGAGUUCAGAAUGUAACAUUUGUGUACAAUUUUUAAGGAAAAAAAUAAGAUCAAGACAUUUAAAGUUUGCCUGGGACACUUAGGGUGAUGCCUUUAGUCUUCUGGGGAUGAUUAGGUCCCUCAGUUCUGAAUUAGGACUGCUUUGAUGGAAAAGGUUAGAACUACCUGUUUAAGUUGUCAGAUUUGUAACUCUGUGUUUUCGUUUUGCUUAAUGGAGCUAUUGUAACGUUUUUAUUCAGGAUGGAAUAGGAACUGGCCAUGAGUUAGUCUCUGAAUCAUUAGGCUUUUCUGGUUAAAGAAUUAAUUAAAAGGAUUUAUGGUAUAUCUUAUGACUCUACAGAAGCCUUGGGAUAUAGAUAGAAAUGAAUGCCAUUUCCCAUCCAGUACUGAAGUGUUAAAGUUGGAAGACAUUUGCUAAGUCAAAUCACUUCAGGUGUGUUGAAGAAAGUACACACAUCUCAUCUUCUGAACAUUUUGAUGGAAUUAACCACAAACCUCAUGCAAGAACAGUAAAAGGUAUUUUGUUAAAUAAUUUUUGCAUAUUGAUGUAGUGCUCUUAAUUUCUAGAUUUUCCUCACAAAGGCCUACCUUAA
RNAcentral lists this long non-coding RNA (1048 nucleotides) under Rhinopithecus bieti (black snub-nosed monkey). RNAcentral's name for it is "lncRNA (ENSRBIG00000045056.1)". Lineage: Eukaryota; Metazoa; Chordata; Mammalia; Primates; Cercopithecidae. The record is from RNAcentral.